RNAcentral lists this ribosomal RNA (250 nucleotides) under uncultured prokaryote. RNAcentral describes it as "partial 16S ribosomal RNA". It matches the Rfam family "Bacterial small subunit ribosomal RNA", at positions 524 to 774 of the family's 1533-position model. The record is from RNAcentral.
UACGUAUGGGGCGAGCGUUGUCCGGAAUUAUUGGGCGUAAAGGGUACGUAGGCGGUUUUGCAAGUCAACUGUUAAAGAAUAAGGCUCAACCUUAUAAAGCAGUUGAAACUACAAGACUUGAGUAGUGGAGAGGAAAGUGGAAUUCCUAGUGUAGCGGUGAAAUGCGUAGAUAUUAGGAGGAAUACCGGUGGCGAAGGCGACUUUCUGGACACAAACUGACGCUGAGGUACGAAAGCGUGGGGAGCAAACA